AUAUCAAUAAGCGCAGGAAAAGAAACCAACAGGGAUUCCCUUAGUAAUGGCGAAUGAAGCGGGAAAAGCUCAAAUUUGAAAUCUGGCCGCUACUAGGCAGUCCGAGUUGUAAUUUCUAGAGACAGCUUUGGCUUCCCACACAGUCCAAGUUCCUUGGAACAGGACGUCAUAGAGGGUGAGAAGCCCGUGUAUGGCUGUGGAUUGGGGGCCGUGUAUAGCGUCUUCGAAGAGUCGAGUUGUUUGGGAAUGCAGCUCAAAAUGGGUGGUAAAUUUCAUCUAAAGCUAAAUACAGGCGAGAGACCGAUAGCGAACAAGUAGAGUGAUCGAAAGAUGAAAAAGAACUUUGAAAAGAGAGUUAAACAGUAC
RNAcentral lists this ribosomal RNA (366 nucleotides) under uncultured fungus. Its description in RNAcentral is "eukaryotic LSU rRNA". It matches the Rfam family "Eukaryotic large subunit ribosomal RNA", at positions 40 to 398 of the family's 3401-position model. The record is from RNAcentral. Lineage: Eukaryota; Fungi.